RNAcentral lists this ribosomal RNA (890 nucleotides) under uncultured bacterium. Its description in RNAcentral is "bacterial SSU rRNA". It matches the Rfam family "Bacterial small subunit ribosomal RNA", at positions 11 to 905 of the family's 1533-position model. The record is from RNAcentral.
GUUUGAUCAUGGCUCAGAUUGAACGCUGGCGGAAUGCCUUACACAUGCAAGCCGAACGGCAGAACGGGCGCCCGCACCUNNNNNNNAGAGGCGAACGGGAGAGUAAUACAUCGGAACGUACCUGAUCGAGGGGGAUAACGCAACGAAAGCCGUGUUAAUACCGCAUACUCCCUGAGGGGGAAAGAGGGGGAUCGAAAGACCUCUCGCGAUUAGAGAGGCCGAUGCCUGAUUAGCUUGUUGGAGGGGUAAAAGCCCACCAAGGCGACUAUCAGGACCUGGACUGAGAGGACGAUCAGCCGCACUGGGACUGAGACACGGCCCAUACUCCUACGGGAGGCGGCAAAGGGGAAUUUUGGACAAUGGGGGAAACCCUGAUCCUCCAAUGCCGCGAGAGUGAAGAAGGCCUUCGGGUUGUAAAGUUCUUUUGUCAAGGAAGAAACACCGGCUCUAACACAGUCCGGGAAUGACCGUACCUGAAAAAUAAGCACCGGUUAACUACGUGCCAGCAGCCGCGGUAAUACGUAGGGUGCGAGCGCUAAUCGGAAUUACUGGGCGUAAAGCGUGCGCAGGCUGUUAUACAAAACAGGAGUGAAAUCCCCCGGCUUAACCUGGGAAUGGCGCCUGUGACUGUAUAGCUACAGUGUGUCAGAAGGGGGUAGAAUUCCACGUGUAGCAAUGAAAUGCGUUGAUAUGUGGAGGAAUACCAAUGGCGAAUCCGCCCCCUGGGAUAACACUGACGCUCAUGCACGAUGCGUGGGGAGCAAACAAGAUACAUACCUGGCAGUCCCGCCCUAAACGAUGCUGACUAGUUGUCUGGAUUUACAUCCUGAGUACCUACUCACGAGUGAAGUCACCCGGCUAGGGAGUACGGUCGCAGAUUAAAACUCAAA